CAAAACAUAGCAUGAUAUUUUCCCCCUUGAGUCACUAAGAUCUUUUUAUGUUGUUCACUUGUUUGUGUUUGAUACAAGUUGAAGACUUGAACUAUCCUUUGGUUCGCUUUUGCUCCUCUAUCACAUUCCAUUAUUCUCAAUAUCUCUGCACAAUCUCUCAGGCUACUCAACACUCAACAACACUCUGUAUAUAUAGUGACAAUUUCAGAAGCAUGGAAUCCGCCAAAACAAUGUUUAUUACAUCUCCACCCUUCCCUCCAAGAACUCUCCUUUCUUCUACCUCUUCGGCUUCAGUUCUGAUGCUUCAUGAACAAGCUGCACCUUUAGUUGCUUCUUGGUCUUCAAGUUUUGCUGCUCAGCAUUUUCCUACCUCUGUUCUCUCGCAAGAGCAGCGUGAUGAGUAUAAGCCUCUGCUUCACUUGUAUAAGGAAGAUAAGAACUCUCAGGUUACAUCAAAUACAAGAAAUGUGGAUACGGGCUUGGUCCGCGAUAAUGAUAGCAAUGAUAAUGCUGAUCAGUUAGUGCAUCACUUUAGGCAGCAGUUGCAACUCUGGUCACAUUUGCAGAAUGUAUUGAAAUCCUCAACAGGGGAAACUGCUGCGGCUUCAUCUCUGCAGCCCGAAAGAGUUGAUUCAGAUAGACCUGCAGAUGGUUUGCAAUUUGAUGCAGUAUCCCUCUCUAAGCAAGCUCUGUCGGCCGCAAAACAAGCAGCAUUAGUGGCUGAAGAGAUGAAAAUGAUUGAAGAUGACGAAGAUGAUGAUCCACUUCCUCUUGGUCUGGCUUCCACAAGCUUAGCUGACACUUCAAUUGGAAAGAAUAAAAUUGUGCGGUCAAGAAGGCUUCUAGAAAGGAGAUUGAAGCAAAGAAAAGUUUCAAAAUCAAAAUUUCUUGAUGAAGAAAGUUAUCUUGCAAGAAAAUCAGACCUACAGGGAAGGCUACAAGUAGAAAAGAAGAUAAAGGAAGGAUUCGAUCAAAAUGAUCCCCUGCGCUUGUUCUUGUGGGGUCCUGAGACAAAGAAACUUUUGACCUCUGAAGAAGAGUCUCAAUUGUUUGUUCAGCUACAGGAUUUUCUGAGAUUAGAAGAAGUAAAGAUCAGGCUCCAAUCUCAAUUUGGACGGGAACCAACUUUGAUUGAAUGGGCUGAAGGUGUGGGUCUUAGCUGCCAUGCCCUGCAGACACAGAUCCAUCAUGGUAACAUAAUCAGAGGAAAGAUAAUUAAUGCCAAUUUACGGAUGGUUGUUCAUAUUGCUAAACAGUAUCAGGGUCGUGGUCUCAGUCUUCAGGACUUAUUGCAGGAGGGAAGUAUGGGACUUAUGAAGAGUGUUGAAAGGUUUAAACCUCGAGUUGGUUGCCGGUUUGGUACCUAUGCAUACUGGUGGAUAAGGCAAACAAUUAGAAAGGCCAUAUUUCUACAUUCCAGGAGAGUUUAUAUACCCUUUUGGGCAAGGUCAUGGAAGCAAAGAAAUUAUUCAUUCAAGAAGGAAAUCUUCACCCCAGUAAAGAAGAAUUAGCAGAAAGGGUAGGAAUUACCGUAGAAAAGUUUGAAAAGUUGUUAUUUUCUGCAAGAAUACCAAUAUCAAUGCAGCAACCUGUGUGGGCAGACCAAGAUACAACUUACCAGGAAAUUACUGCAGAUAGUGCAAUUGAGAUCCCAGGCUUGAGUGUCGAAAAAGAGCUUAUGAGGAGGCACGUGCGCAACCUCCUAAGCAUCUUAAGCCCAAAGGAGAAGAGGAUAGUCAGUCUAAGAUUUGGUAUCGAGGAUGGCCGCGAGAAAUCUCUGCAAGAAAUUGGAAACGUACUUGGUUUGACAAAGGAGAGGGUCCGACAGUUGGAGAGCCGAGCACUGAAGAAGCUCAAGCAGUGCCUUGAGAGCGAAGGACUUCAUGCAUAUAUGGACUUGAUUGUAUAGUGAUAGUAUAGUACUUGUGUAUACACCAAGGUUAUGCCAAUUCAUCUUACUUUGCUUUAAGUACAAAAGCAGUGACUAUUUGAAGGAAAAUCUUCACACUCAGCCAUGGUAAUUGAGGAUGGAACUGCAUGACCAACCAAAGAACUUGUACUGUUGUAAGAAAGAAAAUUCAAGUAAAAAAGAAAAGAAUGAAUAUGGUUGAUUUAUAUGCACACUCAGAUAAUUGGUGUUUGUUUUCAUUAUUUUCUACAGAUUUUGUUUUGUU
Arachis ipaensis is the source of this 2174-nucleotide non-coding RNA. NCBI's taxonomy places the organism in Eukaryota, Viridiplantae, Streptophyta, Magnoliopsida, Fabales, Fabaceae. The record is from RefSeq and is a predicted model, not a curated record.